RNAcentral lists this ribosomal RNA (468 nucleotides) under uncultured bacterium. Its description in RNAcentral is "partial 16S ribosomal RNA". It matches the Rfam family "Bacterial small subunit ribosomal RNA", at positions 28 to 507 of the family's 1533-position model. The record is from RNAcentral.
GACGAACGCUGGCGGCGUGCUUAACACAUGCAAGUCGAACGGAAAGGCCCUGCUUUUGUGGGGUGCUCGAGUGGCGAACGGGUGAGUAACACGUGAGUAACCUGCCCUUGACUUUGGGAUAACUUCAGGAAACUGGGGCUAAUACCGGAUAGGAGCUCCUGCUGCAUGGUGGGGGUUGGAAAGUUUCGGCGGUUGGGGAUGGACUCGCGGCUUAUCAGCUUGUUGGUGGGGUAGUGGCUUACCAAGGCUUUGACGGGUAGCCGGCCUGAGAGGGUGACCGGCGACAUUGGGACUGAGAUACGGCCCAGACGCCUACGGGAGGCAGCAGUGGGGAAUAUUGCACAAUGGGCGGAAGCCUGAUGCAGCAACGCCGCGUGCGGGAUGACGGCCUUCGGGUUGUAAACCGCUGUCGCCUGUGACGAAGCGUGAGUGACGGUAAUGGGUAAAGAAGCACCGGCUAACUACGUG